AGUCGGAUUCUGCCCGGAGCAAGACACUGACGGGAGCCGGGGCCCUUGUGCUCGGGCUUGUCACCUUCGGAGUGGGCCUGUUCCUGCACAGGAGGAGCAGGAAAGUCCAACGAGGAUCUCCAUAAACAGGGUCCCUGACCUAACCUGAAAAACUGCAUGUGCCUCGGAACAAGUGUUUUUCUGUGUGUCUUAGUCCCAGAGGCUGGCUCUGGGACAGACCCCGGCUUCCCAAGAGGAUGUUGCUGCCAAGUAUUUGCUCUGAAGCCACUUUCUGUAGUUCUGCUCUUUGAUUCAAUGCACGGUGGCUCUCAUGGGCCUCCAACCAGGUUCCCUUCUCCUUAGCCCCAUAAAUAAUAAAACCCAACAUUAUUGUUUGUUUU
Long non-coding RNA from Propithecus coquereli (Coquerel's sifaka), 380 nucleotides. RefSeq lists it as uncharacterized. Lineage: Eukaryota; Metazoa; Chordata; Mammalia; Primates; Indriidae. The transcript is spliced from 3 exons. The record is from RefSeq and is a predicted model, not a curated record.